RNAcentral lists this long non-coding RNA (1397 nucleotides) under Homo sapiens (human). Its description in RNAcentral is "HSALNT0068791". The record is from RNAcentral. Lineage: Eukaryota; Metazoa; Chordata; Mammalia; Primates; Hominidae.
CAGAACCGUGAGAGGAGGCACGUCUGCUGCUUCAAGCCACUAAACUGGGGUAACUUGUUAUGGCGGUGACUGGAAACUGAGACAGGCCUCCUGGAGUGCGGAGCUAGACUUUCGGCCAGACCAACAGGUCCCUCUCAGGGGAUUUCAAUACUCGUGGAACCUGCCUUCCUUCAGGAGUUCUUACACCCGCGCCUGGGCUUGUUUAUUCCCUCAACAAACGCCUGCUAGGCGCGGACCCUGUGCUGGUGGGCAGGUGAUGGUGAGCGAGACCCACUCCAGGCUCCGGGACCUCAUGGAGUGGAGGAGCUGGGUAAACAGGCUUUUUCCAUUAAAAAGAUAACAACAACAGCUGGAUGUGCUGCGAAACAGCCAUGGUCCCAGCUACUCAGGAGGCUGAGGCAUGAGGACCACUUGAGCUCAGGAGUUCAAGACAAACCUGGACAACAUAGUGAGACCCUGUCUCAGAAACAAAAAAAAAGAAAAAAAAAAAGCUAACAGUAACAGCACUGUGUAUUGAGGGCUUGUUCUUUACAAACACACCCUCACAUGACCCUCACAGGAACCUCUGACAUCAGCAUCACUGUCCCCAUUUUGCAGAGGAGGAAGCCAGGACUCCAAGGGGCUGACUUCCCACAGCAAUGAGCUCUGAGCAGUGGAGCCAGGGUGCCUCCCAGCCCUGUGGCCAUAGGCCUGUCCCUCGUUCCCCAUGUGUAGGGGAGAUUGGCCAACGAUGAGCACUGAGGGUGCAGGGACAGCUCUAUGAGGGCUGCCCCAACUCUCCCUAUGCCUUUUCAAUGAUUAGACAAAUCCUUCCCGUGCUGUGACAGCUGCCUGUGGUGUUCAGUACAGUCACACGCCAUGCAGGCGUGCAGCCUGGGAGCAAGAGGCUUUGCCCUCUGCCCAGUGUACAGUGGCCAGACCAUCUAGGUGUGUAUAAGCACUCCAGGAUGUUCACACAAACAUGCGUUAACAUCGCGUUUCUCAGAAUGUAUCCCAUCAUUAAUACGUCUGUAACUGUACGUGUGUAUGCGUGUACUUGCUUAUACAUGAUGUUUGCAGAUGUUAUACAUAAAAUGUCAUAUCUGACACAUUAGAUCCUAUAUUACACACAUGCAUGCGUGUACUUUGUUACACAUGACGUUUGCAGAUGUUAUACAUACAUAAAAUGUCAUAAGAAAUCUAUUAGAUUCUGUAUUACACACGUGCACAUGAUAAACUCUAUAUAUUCCACGUAGCGCACCAUGCACACAUGUGGUGAGUGUCAAUUUUGUGCCAGCUUGACUGGGCUGGUAAAGUAUUUCUGGGGGGGUGUGUGUGAGAGCGCUUCUAGAAGAGUUUAGCAUUUGAAUCCAUAGUAUUAAAGAAGGCUGCCCUCAUCAGCACCAGGGUAGGCAGCG